This 568-nucleotide ribosomal RNA is filed under the name uncultured bacterium. RNAcentral's name for it is "bacterial SSU rRNA". It matches the Rfam family "Bacterial small subunit ribosomal RNA", at positions 102 to 694 of the family's 1533-position model. The record is from RNAcentral.
ACGGGUGAGUAACACGUGGGAACGUACCCUUUGGUUCGGAAUAACGCUGGGAAACUAGCGCUAAUACCGGAUACGCCCAUGGCCUUUGGCCCUGGGGAAAGGCUUGCUGCCGAAGGAUCGGCCCGCGUCUGAUUAGCUAGUUGGUGGGGUAAUGGCCUACCAAGGCGACGAUCAGUAGCUGGUCUGAGAGGAUGAUCAGCCACACUGGGACUGAGACACGGCCCAGACUCCUACGGGAGGCAGCAGUGGGGAAUAUUGGACAAUGGGCGCAAGCCUGAUCCAGCCAUGCCGCGUGAGUGAUGAAGGCCUUAGGGUUGUAAAGCUCUUUUGUCCGGGACGAUAAUGACGGUACCGGAAGAAUAAGCCCCGGCUAACUUCGUGCCAGCAGCCGCGGUAAUACGAAGGGGGCUAGCGUUGCUCGGAAUCACUGGGCGUAAAGGGCGCGUAGGCGGCCAUUCAAGUCGGGGGUGAAAGCCUGUGGCUCAACCACAGAAUUGCCUUCGAUACUGUUUGGCUUGAGUAUGGCAGAGGUUAGUGGAACUGCGAGUGUAGAGGUGAAAUUCGUAGA